CUCUAGUUCUCGUGGUUUGGUGUUAGGCUCUAAACCCCAGCAACCAGGGUUCGAUCAUUGGCAUCCACAGAAAUGAUAUGCAGCAAUAAUAAUUAUAAUAAUAAUUCCUCAACAAAUGAGGUAUUCUAAAAUACCUCCUUCCACUUUCAACCUCUUGAAAUAUCGUAAUAGUUAUUUUUAAUUUAGUAAAAUAAUAAUUUUAUUAUUUUUUAAAAAUUAUUUUUGAUAUUAUUAUAUAAAUUAUUUUUGAAAAUAUAUAAAAAAUUUAAUUUUAAAUAAAAAAA
RNAcentral lists this long non-coding RNA (284 nucleotides) under Populus trichocarpa (black cottonwood). RNAcentral describes it as "long non-coding RNA (PTRI_LNC002699)". The record is from RNAcentral. Lineage: Eukaryota; Viridiplantae; Streptophyta; Magnoliopsida; Malpighiales; Salicaceae.